CGGAUCAGUGGCGCACGGGUGAGUAACGCGUGGGAACCUGCCCCGGGGUACGGAAUAACGGCUGGAAACGGCCGCUAAUACCGUAUGCGCCCUUUGGGGGAAAGAUUUAUCGCCCUGGGAGGGGCCCGCGUCCGAUUAGCUAGUUGGCGGGGUAACGGCCCACCAAGGCGACGAUCGGUAGCUGGUCUGAGAGGAUGAUCAGCCACACUGGGACUGAGACACGGCCCAGACUCC
This 234-nucleotide ribosomal RNA is filed under the name uncultured bacterium. RNAcentral describes it as "partial 16S ribosomal RNA". It matches the Rfam family "Bacterial small subunit ribosomal RNA", at positions 88 to 339 of the family's 1533-position model. The record is from RNAcentral.